Molecule: non-coding RNA, 97 nt
Rfam family: Bacterial small signal recognition particle RNA
About the family: The signal recognition particle (SRP) is a universally conserved ribonucleoprotein involved in the co-translational targeting of proteins to membranes. Archaeal SRP consists of a 7S RNA and homologues of the eukaryotic SRP19 and SRP54 proteins.
Source: Rfam
CGCAAGGCCUUGAAGCAAAGUUGUGUUUACGAACCGUGUCAGAUCCGAGAGGAAGCAGCACUAAGUAUUCUACGCUUGUGCUUCUUGUUUUUUAUAC